Molecule: transfer RNA, 68 nt
Filed under: Felis catus (domestic cat)
Lineage: Eukaryota; Metazoa; Chordata; Mammalia; Carnivora; Felidae
Also listed under: 2 other names
Rfam family: tRNA
About the family: Transfer RNA (tRNA) molecules are approximately 80 nucleotides in length. Their secondary structure includes four short double-helical elements and three loops (D, anti-codon, and T loops).
Source: Rfam by way of RNAcentral
GCCUGGCUGGCUCAGUGAGCAUGUGACUCUUGAUCUUGGGGCUGUGAGUUCGAGCCCCACGUUGGGCC